Molecule: ribosomal RNA, 253 nt
Filed under: uncultured bacterium
Lineage: Bacteria
Description: partial 16S ribosomal RNA
Rfam family: Bacterial small subunit ribosomal RNA
Source: RNAcentral
UACGGAGGGUGCAAACGUUGCUCGGAAUCAUUGGGCGUAAAGCGCACGUAGGCGGCUUGGCAAGUCGGAUGUGAAAUCCCUCGGCUCAACCAAGGAAGUGCAUCCGAAACUGCCGAGCUUGAGUACUUAAGAGGAUCGCGGAAUUCCCGGUGUAGAGGUGAAAUUCGUAGAUAUCGGGAGGAACACCAGUGGCGAAGGCGGCGAUCUGGGAAGAUACUGACGCUGAGGUGCGAAAGCGUGGGGAGCAAACAGG